UUAAGCAAGGAUAACCGAAAUGUCAGGGGUUCGAGCCCCCUAUGAGGAG
This 49-nucleotide transfer RNA is filed under the name Monosporozyma servazzii. RNAcentral's name for it is "Kazachstania servazzii partial transfer RNA". The record is from RNAcentral. Lineage: Eukaryota; Fungi; Ascomycota; Saccharomycetes; Saccharomycetales; Saccharomycetaceae.